CACACGACUCUCGGCAACGGAUAUCUAGGCUCUUGCAUCGAUGAAGAACGUAGCAAAAUGCGAUACCUGGUGUGAAUUGCAGAAUCCCGUGAACCAUCGAGUUUUUGAACGCAAGUUGCGCCCGAGGCCUUCUGGCCGAGGGCACGUCUGCCUGGGCGUCACGC
RNAcentral lists this ribosomal RNA (164 nucleotides) under Kalinia obtusiflora. RNAcentral describes it as "5.8S ribosomal RNA". It matches the Rfam family "5.8S ribosomal RNA". From Rfam's summary of the family: 5.8S ribosomal RNA (5.8S rRNA) is a component of the large subunit of the eukaryotic ribosome. It is transcribed by RNA polymerase I as part of the 45S precursor that also contains 18S and 28S rRNA. Lineage: Eukaryota; Viridiplantae; Streptophyta; Magnoliopsida; Poales; Poaceae. The record is from RNAcentral.